This is a long non-coding RNA of Trifolium pratense (red clover), 2606 nucleotides long. RefSeq lists it as uncharacterized. The record is from RefSeq and is a predicted model, not a curated record. The transcript is spliced from 4 exons. NCBI's taxonomy places the organism in Eukaryota, Viridiplantae, Streptophyta, Magnoliopsida, Fabales, Fabaceae.
UUCCCAAAAUUUCUUCCCUUACGUACGCGAACGCGAGAACACACCGGAACGCCCUAAUUUCUUCAUUCUCAUUCUUCAUCGUUCCCAAAUUUCUUCCCAAUUUCUUCCCAAAUCGCCAUAGCUUCACGCACACAAAGAACAAACUGAACCCUAGCUUUCAAUUUCACCAAAUUGAUCGAACUAGUUCAACAAAUCUUUGUUUCAGCAAAUCGUUCACCCUCUCACUCGAUCGAACUAUCCCUCUUUCUCUCUGUCACACCCGUUCUCCCUCGAACCCUACCCUCCAAUCUCUUUCACUGAAUCACAAAUUCCAUUCCCUAAUUGAAGAAUCAAGGCUUACUGAACCCAAAUAGAAGCUCAAUGAAACGAAUCAAAGCUGAUUUUGGGUUUUCGAUCGGAGGGAGAGGAACAAGCUGAGAGAGCUUUGAUUCUAUUCUCAAUUUUUAUUCUUAAAAUUAUGUUCUUAGUUUGGUAUUCUGUCAGAUCUGUUUAUGUUUUCUUAGUUUUUUUUUUUCAUUUAAAGUUUCAAUGAUUUUUUUGUCUGGUAUACUGGAAAUUAUAAAGGUAAACUAUAUGAUACUGAUUUUGUUUUCUUACAAUGAGAAUGGAUUCUUUGUCUUUCUAGCCAGCAGAUCUUUGAAUAAAAUUUUAGGUUCUAUAUUUUUACAGGAUAGCAAAGGCUUUGAACAGUUGUAGUGCUAGCACUGGUGACAUUAUCAGUACCACAUUGAGGCUCAAACAAGAGCUUGAAACUAUAAUACACAAACACAAGAGAUUGUGACAUGUUUUUUAUGUGAUUAUCAGCUCUCCCCUGAAGAGGUUUGAAUUAUUGUUUGAUGUUUUACCAUCGGCACGUGGCUUUGUGAAUCAAAUAACUGAAUUAUAUUCUUUCUUAAACUUAAUUUUUGAUCAUCUGUAGAUAAAUGCACUUAGAGAUGAAGAUUUGAAUGAAAAACGUUUUCAAAGUUUUGAGAUAGUAGCUUAAUUGGUUUCACAUGUGGCUCACUUUAAGGCUAUAUGCUAACAAGUGUCUUGCUGUAGGGUGCUUCAAUUUGUUGAAGCUUUGAUGCUAAUUACUUGUUCUCUGUGUUUCAAAUUGAUAAGGGUUACAUAUUUACUUGAUUGCUUAUGACUUUUAUGUUUUUGUUGUUAAAUUAUGUUUUAAAGGGAUGAAGAUUUGAACCAUUUUCUGCACUGAUUUACUUUAUCUAAGCUCGGUAAGAUUAUGAGUUGAACACUAAUAUGUAUAUCAUCGUGUAUAUCAUGGAAUCACCGGUUUGUUGGUGAAUUGGUUUUCAAUGGCCAAAUUAGACUUUCUUUGUUAGUUAUGAGAUUCACUACCAAGAUGACUGCAAUAUCCGUAUUAGAUGCAAUCUGUUGAAUGAUCUUUGAAGGAACCAAAUGCUAUGGGCUUAUCAACUUUAGGGAAGGAUGGAAAAUACUCAUCACGGAUAGUAUUGCUAAAAGGCUUCGACAAGGAUGCAUUUGUGUGGUCAGUAAUAAACUUGUUAGUAUAUAUAUUAUGGCAAAAUGAACUAGUAUAGAACUUGUUAGUAUAUAUUCUUGUAAUUUUAAAUAAGUUUUAGAGGUUUUAUUUUAUGUUGUUGGAAGUAUAUCAGUAUCAAUGUGGUCCUUGUACCUGUUAAAGUCAGAGUGUAAAAAUGGAGAAAUUACAAAGAGAAUCAAAAGGACAAUCAUUGACUCAGGCUGGGUUUCUCUCUUAUUUGAAGUUCGACGUUGUUUAGCUUGAGUUUUGGUAUGUUACUAUUUAGGAGCUCUUAGGCCUUGUGAACUGUCUUGAUUUGAUGACAGUGUUGGUGUUGUAAUUUAGCUUGAAGCAUGAUUUCAAUGAACUGCUUGUUAAAUUGAUGCAAAGGUGAUAAAGUAUACUUAAUUCACAUGGACUGCUUGUUAAAUUGAUUUCAAAUUAUUAUCACAUUUAUAUUUUGGUACGUGUAUUGGGCUAAGAAAAAGUUGUAAACUGUGUGCAUUGAUCAGGUCGGAUGAAUAUCUAUUUGGAAGUUAUAACCAGAAUCUUCCCAGGAAUAUUUCCGUCGUAAAAGAAAUUUUUUCUGGACCUAACCGCCUGGGAACCGAGGAAGCUAUUAUUGAGAUGAUUGACUUCAGGGAAAAACAUGGUGGAAUGGGAAUUUGAACUGACGAAGCAUCAAGCGCAACUAUACCUUCCUCUAGUUAUUAGGCUUCAAAUUGGAACUAAAGGAGUUUUUGAAAGGGAGGCAAUUCUUAUGUGAUGGAGCCUGCUGCUGCUUUUCUUUCUCAGCAAUGGCUAAGUGGUGUAUAAUUGUCGCUGGUAUCUUAACUGCUUAGUAAUAUUAAUGUUGUAUCCUUAGCUAUUGCUUAGUGUGUUCCAUUGUAUUGGUGCAUUUUUUUUUUGAACUGGUAUCAUGUAUCAUUUAGAGCUUGCUGAACAUCUUGUACACAAGACUUUUUGCUUUUAAUGCCAAUUUUCCUUUUCCAAAAAAAUAAUUGAGUAUUGGAGUAGGUAUUUGCAUAAUUGUUUUGGAAACUUCAUUUGCAUUGGAUUAGGUUUGGUCACCUAGGUAUGCUAAAAACGAAAAAAAAAAUCAAACAUACCACUACUGAUC